RNAcentral lists this ribosomal RNA (155 nucleotides) under uncultured bacterium. Its description in RNAcentral is "partial 16S ribosomal RNA". It matches the Rfam family "Bacterial small subunit ribosomal RNA", at positions 355 to 507 of the family's 1533-position model. The record is from RNAcentral.
UGAGGAAUAUUGGUCAAUGGGCGAGAGCCUGAACCAGCCAAGUAGCGUGCAGGAUGACGGCCCUAUGGGUUGUAAACUGCUUUUAUGCGGGGAUAAAGUGCGGCACGUGUGCCUUUUUGUAUGUACCGCAUGAAUAAGGACCGGCUAAUUCCGUG